UUAUCCAUAUGUCUUUUCCCUUGGUACUCCUCCCUUUUUUCAUAAGCAUACAAUAUUUCAUUAAAGUCCCCACAAAUCAUCCAUGGAUAGUUUUGAUCCCUUCCUCUUUACUACCAAUAUUGGGUGCCCCAUAAAACCCUGUCAUCCUCCAUUAAGGACUUUUUCCCUCUUCUUCAAUGAUCAUAUCAAUAUGAUUCUUUGAAUAGCUUCGAAGUUGAACCGUGAUGUCUUCUUUCCAAGCUAAACAUAGACCCUUUAACGUUCCUUUAGUUAGAAACACAAUACCAUUUUGAAACCUACAUCUUCUAUGAAACUUUUCCACCCGAGAGCUAUUUAACUUUUCCAACUUAAGAGUUUUAUUGCUCCCGGUCGGCUUGUCUAUUGGUAGUCGCCGAUCUUUGUUGUACUCGAGCGAUAAGUCACUCAUCUGUGGACCUUAACGAAUCUGCAGAAACAACAACGCUAAAAUCUAUAUAUUCAGACCUGGGCCUUUUCUUCCCAUCCCCACUAGAGGAUUCUGCCUUAAUAUUAUCAACUUGAUUUUUGAAUCCUUCCAAAUUAAAUCUCAAUAUUGGAUUUAUCGAUUUCCUCGAUUCUCUACUCAACACAUCCCUUAAAUUCCACCCCAUAUCACACUUUCCCCAAUUUGCAUUUCUUCCCCACAAAGCCAAACAUUAUUAUCUGUUGUAGCUCUUCUUGUUGAAAGUAUUAUAAGGGGAGGACCGUCCUAAAAUGAACUGAGUGUAAAAGAUCUGUUCCAAUUCUUCAAUAAAGUCGCGCCAAAAAUCUACAGGAGAAUUAGAAGCCACAAUGACGAAACGCCGAAUCUCUAAUUCUGAAUCAGAAGAAAGUGGAAGUGAAGAGAUGUUAAGCGAAGAAGAAGAAGAUGAUGAUAAUGAAGUAAUCCUCAAGCAGGAACAGCAAGGUAUAUCCGAAUACGAGAAGCAGAGGCUAGCGAGAAUUGCAGAGAACAGAGCCAGAAUGGAGGCUUUGGGUCUGCCCAAAAUUGCCUCUUCUUUGAUGGGUUCGUCGCCAAAUACAAGUCGAACUUCGAGCAAGAUUAAAGGGAAACGCAAGGUCAUUGAUGACGAUGAAGAUUACAGGCCCAAUGAUAAUGAGGAUGACCACGACGAAGACGAUGAUGAUAAACUUGAUGGUGAUGAUGAGGAGGAGUUUCUGGGUAGUAAAACGCCUCAAACUCAAUCUCGUAAAAACAAGGUGAAAAAUAAAGGCUCAAAAUCUAAGAAGAAAGCUUCCGUUCAAAAACAUUUGAGUAGUUCAGAUUACAUUGACGAUGGUGAUGAUGAAUUAAUGAAGGCAAUUGCUCUGUCCCUUAAAGAUUCUGGAGAAGUUUUAGGUGCUGUACCUACAGAUGUGCAAGAUGCUACUUUCACUGAAAGCAAGGGGAACGCUCGAUCAAAGAGGAAAAAAUCGUUCACCAGCCGCGUGCAGAUGACUGAGGAUGAAAUGGUCGUGCACUUCUUUCACUUUGAUGCAUUGUUGGCUAUCAGAAGCUGGAAAAGGAAGCAUUUCUAUGAGAGAUUUACGAAGAGUAGCUAUUGCACAUGAUUUUAUGUGGACAGAUAAGGACUUGGCUGAGAUGAUCCAAUGCUUUGAUACCGAUGGCGAUGGGAAGAUCUUGAUGAUUUCCGGAAAAUUGUCAGCAGGUGUAACAUGUUACGAACAUCUGACAAUUCUUAAAUAGGAUUCAAGCUUAUUCUGUUAUAAGAUGUACCCUUAUUUUGUUAUAAGAUGUACCUUUGUGAACGGAUUAGAAUCGUGUAAUCAAGACUCGGUGCUCCUUCCUUUUAUUCUACAAGUUAAAUGCUUCCAACUACAAA
RNA transcript from Gossypium arboreum, 1841 nucleotides. RefSeq lists it as uncharacterized. The record is from RefSeq and is a predicted model, not a curated record. The transcript is spliced from 6 exons. NCBI's taxonomy places the organism in Eukaryota, Viridiplantae, Streptophyta, Magnoliopsida, Malvales, Malvaceae.